Non-coding RNA from Stegodyphus mimosarum, 73 nucleotides. NCBI's taxonomy places the organism in Eukaryota, Metazoa, Arthropoda, Arachnida, Araneae, Eresidae. The record is from Rfam.
GCCUUCGUGGUGUAGUGGUCAGCACGCUCGACGCGGAUUCGAGAGGUCCGUGGUUCGAGUCCCGGAGAGGACA